RNAcentral lists this ribosomal RNA (600 nucleotides) under uncultured bacterium. RNAcentral's name for it is "bacterial SSU rRNA". It matches the Rfam family "Bacterial small subunit ribosomal RNA", at positions 747 to 1341 of the family's 1533-position model. The record is from RNAcentral.
UGAGGCACGAAAAGCGUGGGGUAGCAAAACAGGAUUAGAUAACCCUGGUAGUCCACGCUGUAAAACGAUGAUUAACUAGGUGUGGGGGGACUGACGCCUUCCGUGCCGGAGUUAAACACAAUAAAGUAAUCCACCUGGGGAGUACGGCCGCAAGGUUGAAACUCAAAAGGAAUUGACGGGGGCCCGCACAAAGCAGUGGAGUAUGUGGUUUAAUUCGAAGCAACGCGAAGAAACCUUACCAGGUCUUGACAUCCAACUAACGAAGUAGAGAUACAUUAGGUGCCCUUCGGGGAAAGUUGAGACAGGUGGUGCAUGGUUGUCGUCAGCUCGUGUCGUGAGAUGUUGGGUUAAGUCCCGCAACGAGCGCAACCCUUACUAUUAGUUGCUACGCAAGAGCACUCUAAUAGGACUGCCGUUGACAAAACGGAGGAAGGUGGGGACGACGUCAAAUCAUCAUGCCCCUUAUGACCUGGGCUACACACGUACUACAAUGGCCAUCAACAGAGGGAAGCAAAAUAGCGAUAUGGAGCAAACCCCUAAAAAUGGUCUCAGUUCAGAUGCAGGCUGCAACCCGCCUGCAUGAAGUCGGAAUGCUAGUAA